Molecule: unclassified non-coding RNA, 229 nt
Filed under: plant metagenome
Description: partial contains small subunit ribosomal RNA, internal transcribed spacer 1, and 5.8S ribosomal RNA
Source: RNAcentral
GCUCCGUAGGUGAACCUGCGGAGGGAUCAUUACAGAGUUCAUGCCCUACCGGGUAGAUCUCCCACCCUAUGUUAUUAUUACUUUGUUGCUUUGGCGGGCCGUUAGGCUCCGGCCCGACUACCGGCCCCGGCUGGUAAGCGCCCGCCAGAGGACCCAAAACCCUGAAUAUUAGUGUCGUCCGAGUACUAUAUAAUAGUUAAAACUUUCAACAACGGAUCUCUUGGUUCUG